Molecule: long non-coding RNA, 2018 nt
Organism: Schistocerca cancellata (South American locust)
Lineage: Eukaryota; Metazoa; Arthropoda; Insecta; Orthoptera; Acrididae
Exons: 3
Source: RefSeq, a predicted model, not a curated record
CUCCCCGUUGAUCGUAAAGGCAUAUAUGACGGAUUAUUGCAUGUAUCCAUCACAAGGCUGCCAGUACGCGAGCGGUUCCUGAUCUUGUGAAGAUCCGUCCCCGAGCGACAAGUAGCGCGGAAGCAGAACAGUGACAAGACAACGUACGGCUUACUAUCUGAAUAAUGUCCAAGUGCAUCAUGGUUUGACAGUACAUAACAUUCUAACUUAAACAAUCUGCUUAUGUUUUAUUGCUAGUUUAUUCCAAUUUGCCUUUCUCUGUUUACUUUCUGGACAACUGCAAACGACGCACAAGAUAUUGUCAGCACUGUACGUAAGCGCCAUUUACAUGCGCCGCUAAACAGUGUCAACUGACGCAUGUCACCAGUCAACUGUUCAAUUUUCAAUAUAAAUUAGGAGUAAUUAAGGUCAGACUUCUCUUGUGGUGCAUCUCUUAAUCGAUGUUUUGUGGAGAUAUAAGAAGAGAACAAUGUGUGCCAUCUGUUGCCUCUCAGACAUGGGCACCGCCAGCCUCGGCGAACCCUGAGACACUUUGGAACGAGAUGUGCUUGACGGCAUCUCACGUACAUAACUUCUGGUCGGAGACCUGCGAAUGAUUACUAUCGUAACACUGAUGUAAAGAUCCUAAUCAUCUAACGGUAAUUAUUCGAAACGGGAACAAUGGAAUAAAUAAAUCGAACUUAUACCACGCCUGUAUUGUGUUACAGAAUUGGAUUCUAUCGAAUUUUGCUGAUUAGAUACUCUGUUGAUGGAAGGUACUGAAACUCUAUAAAAUGGCAACUCCUCAAGAGAAGGCACAAUGUGUGACCUGGUUUAUUGAGACAAAAUCAGAUUGGAUGUUCAGACUCGACGAAACUUCAGAACGAAGUAUGGAAGAGAUGCACCAUCGCACUCUUCAAUUCGUGCAUGGCACAAAAAAUUUAUGGAGACAGAGACAAUGUUGGGCAAAGGGAGGAGUGGGCGACCAAGAAUAUCCAAGGAAAACAGUGAUCAUGUUUUAAAUGUCUUCACUCAUUCACCUACAAAGUCCAUCCGCACUGCUGCCAGACUGUUGCACCUACCACGUUCAACUGUGCAUAAGGUCCUCCACAAGAACUUACGGUUGUAUGCUUAAAAAGUGCAACUGCUACAGACAAUUGAGUCAAAUGACAAGCCCAAAAUGGACACAGUUUGCACUCAACAUGCUUGAAUGCCUUUCAGUGACAAGGCAACUUUUCAUGAUUCUGGGACAUUAAACAUACACAAUGUGAGAAUCUGGGGAUCUGAAUACCCCUAUGUGACUAGGGAGCUUCACUGGGAUAGUGCAAAAGUGAAUGUGUGGUGUGGAAUCAUGUGCAACCAAAUAAUUGGUCCAUUUUUCUUCAACGAGUCAACAAUUACUGCAGAUGGUUACCUCAACCUUCUGACCGAAUAUGUAGCACCACAACUGAUUGACUUACAACCAUCUAUCAUUUUCCAGCAAGAUGGUGCACUACCACAUUGGGAACUGCAUGUUCAUUGGUUCCUCAAUGAAACAUUUCCAGGCAGAUGGAUUGGGAGGGAUGGACCAAUUCCUUGGCCACCGUGUUUGCCAGAUGUCACUCCCUUGCACUUUUUUAUUGGGGGUAUGUAAAAGAUAUCAUUUAUCAAACACAGAUAUGGGACAUUGCUGACUUGAAGCAAAGGAUUCGUAAUGCCAUUGCCACCAUUGAUGACGCUAUGCUACAGCGAACAUGACAAGAAAUCGAGUACCAUCUUGAUGUGCUUCAUGUAACUAAAGACGCCCAUAUAGAGGUCUACUAAACACUGUAAAAAAAAACUUUUAUAAACACUGAUUACAAUAAAGGACAUGUUGUCAAAAUACUUCAAAACUGCCAUUGUAAUAAAAUUUUGAAGUUGUAAAGGGACUUUAUGGACACCCUAUAUAUUUCCCUGUCAAAAGUCAGAUAAUUACUGGACAACUUUGUAUUUCAACAAAUAAUAACCAUUCUAUUUAUAAUCUUGUCAUUUAAUAACAGAAGGCCUCUAUUUAUGUAGUU